UCGGGAAUUUUGGGCAAUGGGCGAAAGCCUGACCCAGCAACGCCGCGUGAAGGAUGAAGUAUUUCGGUAUGUAAACUUCGAAAGAAUAGGAAGAAUAAAUGACGGUACUAUUUAUAAGGUCCGGCUAACUACGUGCCAGCAGCCGCGGUAAUACGUAGGGACCAAGCGUUGUUCGGAUUUACUGGGCGUAAAGGGCGCGUAGGCGGCAAUUCAAGUCAUCUGUGAAAUCUCCGGGCUUAACUCGGAACGGUCAGAUGAUACUGCUUUGCUAGAGUGCAGAAGGGGCAAUCGGAAUUCUUGGUGUAGCGGUGAAAUGCGUAGAUAUCAAGAGGAACACCUGAGGUGAAGACGGGUUGCUGGGCUGACACUGACGCUGAGGCGCGAAAGCCAGGGGAGCAAACGGGAUUAGAUACCCGAGUAGUCCCUGAGCGGGCUGG
RNAcentral lists this ribosomal RNA (437 nucleotides) under uncultured bacterium. RNAcentral describes it as "bacterial SSU rRNA". It matches the Rfam family "Bacterial small subunit ribosomal RNA", at positions 355 to 812 of the family's 1533-position model. The record is from RNAcentral.